RNAcentral lists this ribosomal RNA (658 nucleotides) under uncultured soil bacterium. Its description in RNAcentral is "bacterial SSU rRNA". It matches the Rfam family "Bacterial small subunit ribosomal RNA", at positions 56 to 760 of the family's 1533-position model. The record is from RNAcentral.
UGCAAGUCGAACGAGACCUUCGGGUCUAGUGGCGCACGGGUGCGUAACGCGUGGGAAUCUGCCCUUGGGUUCGGAAUAACAGCUGGAAACGACUGCUAAUACCGGAUGAUGACGUAAGUCCAAAGAUUUAUCGCCCAGGGAUGAGCCCGCGUAGGAUUAGCUAGUUGGUGAGGUAAAGGCUCACCAAGGCGACGAUCCUUAGCUGGUCUGAGAGGAUGAUCAGCCACACUGGGACCGAGACACGGCCCAGACUCCUACGGGAGGCAGCAGUGGGGAAUAUUGGACAAUGGGCGAAAGCCUGAUCCAGCAAUGCCGCGUGAGUGAUGAAGGCCUUAGGGUUGUAAAGCUCUUUUACCCGGGAUGAUAAUGACAGUACCGGGAGAAUAAGCUCCGGCUAACUCCGUGCCAGCAGCCGCGGUAAUACGGAGGGAGCUAGCGUUGUUCGGAAUUACUGGGCGUAAAGCGCACGUAGGCGGCGAUCUAAGUCAGAGGUGAAAGCCCGGGGCUCAACCCCGGAAUAGCCUUUGAGACUGGAUUGUUUGAAUCCAGGAGAGGUGAGUGGAAUUCCGAGUGUAGAGGUGAAAUUCGUAGAUAUUCGGAAGAACAUCAGUGGCGAAGGCGGCUCACUGGACUGGUAUUGACGCUGAGGUGCGAAAGC